This 223-nucleotide long non-coding RNA is filed under the name Manihot esculenta (cassava). Its description in RNAcentral is "long non-coding RNA (MESC_LNC006785)". The record is from RNAcentral. Lineage: Eukaryota; Viridiplantae; Streptophyta; Magnoliopsida; Malpighiales; Euphorbiaceae.
AGUCUGGAGACCCCGUAGGGAAAGCUGGGGACAAGCGUCCAGCGCCUCAUGGAACGUCUGCCCCUCCUCCUGCCCAGAAGAAGCCCAGGGCUUCCAAAGGAUCUUCUCCUGCCCUUCCUCCUAUUGGGAAAGGAAAAGAUGUUCCUGUUGUACCUCUAUUGUCUGCUACUGAUAACGACACUCUGAACGUAGCGGACAUCAGCUCUCAAUCUCCGGCCAAUGC